This 237-nucleotide long non-coding RNA is filed under the name Lathyrus oleraceus (garden pea). Its description in RNAcentral is "Pisum sativum (pea) long non-coding RNA (PSAT_LNC012656)". The record is from RNAcentral. Lineage: Eukaryota; Viridiplantae; Streptophyta; Magnoliopsida; Fabales; Fabaceae.
UGAUCAAGCAUUAUGAAUCUCUUGGUGAUGACAAAACCAUGAUGAUGAUGAUGUACCGUUUCAGCCAAGAUGAUAAUCAAUCUCCUUGAGGAACCAUGAAACCCUAAUUUGGACCCCACAUUCUCAGAUGGCUAAUGAUUCAUUCAAUGAAACCCUAGGCUUGCACCUCAACCUCUUUAUCUUCUGAUCAAGACCUAGGAAGAUGGCUUGCUCCAUGUAACCACAUGAUAUGCAAAU